This 484-nucleotide ribosomal RNA is filed under the name uncultured bacterium. Its description in RNAcentral is "partial 16S ribosomal RNA". It matches the Rfam family "Bacterial small subunit ribosomal RNA", at positions 29 to 507 of the family's 1533-position model. The record is from RNAcentral.
AUUGAACGCUGGCGGCAUGCCUUACACAUGCAAGUCGAACGGCAGCGCGGGAGCAAUCCUGGCGGCGAGUGGCGAACGGGUGAGUAAUACAUCGGAACGUGCCCAAUCGUGGGGGAUAACGCAGCGAAAGCUGUGCUAAUACCGCAUACGAUCUACGGAUGAAAGCAGGGGAUCGCAAGACCUUGCGCGAAUGGGGCGGCCGAUGGCAGAUUAGUUAGUUGGUGAGGUAAAGGCCCACCAAGCCGCCGAUCUGUAGCUGGUCUGAGAGGAGGAGCAGCCACACUGGAACUGAGAGAGGGCCAAGGCUGCUACGGGAGGCCGCAGUGGGGAAUAUGGGACAAGGGGGGGAAGUUGGAGUCAGCGAUACUGCGUAGGUGAAGAAGGAUUUCUGGUUGGAAAGUCGGUGUGUGGGGAAAGAAAAGAAGCAAGUGAAUAACCCGGUGCCGGGAAGGGACCGAAAGAAUAAGCACCGGGUAACGUAGUG